AACUUUUAGCAACGGAUCUCUUGGCUCUCGCAUCGAUGAAGAACGCAGCGAAAUGCGAUACGUAAUGUGAAUUGUAGAAUUCAGUGAAUCAUCGAAUCUUUGAACGCACCUUGCGCCCCUUGGAAUUCCGAGGGGCACACCCGUUUGAGUGUCGUGAACAUCCUUCAACCUUUCUUGGUUUCUUAACCGGGGAAGGCUUGGACUUUGGGGGUCUUUCAUUGCUGGCCUCUUUGAAGCCAGCUCCUCCUAAAUGGAUUAGUGUGGUCUGCUUUGCCGAUCCUUGACGUGAUAAGAUGUUUCUACGUCUUGGGUUUCGCACUGUCGCUUUAGACCCCGCUUCUAACCGUCUUGCAUUCAAGACAGAGUUUUAAACCUUGACCUCAAAUCGGGUGAGACUACCCGCUGAACUUAAGCAUAUCAAUAAGCGGAGGCU
This 433-nucleotide unclassified non-coding RNA is filed under the name uncultured Russula. RNAcentral's name for it is "sequence contains ITS2". The stretch from base 1 to 154 matches the Rfam family "5.8S ribosomal RNA". Lineage: Eukaryota; Fungi; Basidiomycota; Agaricomycetes; Russulales; Russulaceae. The record is from RNAcentral.